UACGUAGGGGGCAAGCGUUGUCCGGAUUUAUUGGGCGUAAAGAGCGCGCAGGCGGUCGGAUAAGUCGAAUGUGAAAGCCCCCGGCUCAACUGGGGAGGGUCAUUCGAUACUGUUCGACUCGAAGGCAGGAGAGGGAAGUGGAAUUCCCGGUGUAGUGGUGAAAUGCGUAGAUAUCGGGAGGAACACCAGUGGCGAAGGCGACUUCCUGGCCUGUUCUUGACGCUGAGGCGCGAAAGCUAGGGGGGCAAACGGG
This 253-nucleotide ribosomal RNA is filed under the name uncultured bacterium. RNAcentral's name for it is "partial 16S ribosomal RNA". It matches the Rfam family "Bacterial small subunit ribosomal RNA", at positions 524 to 776 of the family's 1533-position model. The record is from RNAcentral.